RNAcentral lists this ribosomal RNA (440 nucleotides) under uncultured bacterium. Its description in RNAcentral is "partial 16S ribosomal RNA". It matches the Rfam family "Bacterial small subunit ribosomal RNA", at positions 338 to 795 of the family's 1533-position model. The record is from RNAcentral.
CCUACGGGAGGCAGCAGUAGGGAAUAUUGCUCAAUGGGCGAAACCCUGAACCAGCAACGCCGCGUGGAGGAUGAAGGUUUUCGGAUUGUAAACUCCUUUUGUUAGAGAAGAUAAUGACGGUAUCUAACGAAUAAGCACCGUCUAACUCCGUGCCAGCAGCCGCGGUAAUACGGAGGGUGCAAGCGUUACUCGGAAUCACUGGGCGUAAAGAGCGCGUAGGCGGGAUAGCAAGUCAGAUGUGAAAUCCUAUGGCUUAACCAUAGAAUUGCAUUUGAAACUGUUAUUCUAGAGUAUGGGAGAGGUAGGUGGAAUUCUUGGUGUAGGGGUAAAAUCCGUAGAGAUCAAGAGGAAUACUCAUUGCGAAGGCGGCCUGCUGGCACAUAACUGACGCUGAUGCGCGAAAGCGUGGGGAGCAAACAGGAUUAGAUACCCUUGUAGUC